UGGGGAAUAUUGGACAAUGGGCGAAAGCCUGAUCCAGCCAUGCCGCGUGUGUGAAGAAGGUCUUCGGAUUGUAAAGCACUUUAAGUUGGGAGGAAGGGCAUUUGCCUAAUACGUAAGUGUUUUGGCGUUACCGACAGAAUAAGCACCGGCUAACUCUGUGCCAGCAGCCCCGGUAAUACAGAGGGUGCAAGCGUUAAUCGGAAUUACUGGGCGUAAAGCGCGCGUAGGUGGUUUGUUAAGUUGGAUGUGAAAUCCCCGGGCUCAACCUGGGAACUGCAUUCAAAACUGACAAGCUAGAGUAUGGUAGAGGGUGGUGGAAUUUCCUGUGUAGCGGUGAAAUGCGUAGAUAUAGGAAGGAACACCAGUGGCGAAGGCGACCACCUGGACUGAUACUGACACUGAGGUGCGAAAAGCGUGGGGAGCAAAACAGGAUUUAGAUACCCUGGUAGUCACGCCGUAAAACGAUGUCAACUAGCCGUUGGGAGCCUUGAGCUCUUAGUGGCGCAGCUAACGCAUUAAGUUGACCGCCUGGGGAGUACGGCCGCAAGGUUAAAACUCAAAUGAAUUGACGGGGUCAUAGCUGUUUCCUG
This 590-nucleotide ribosomal RNA is filed under the name uncultured bacterium. RNAcentral's name for it is "partial 16S ribosomal RNA". It matches the Rfam family "Bacterial small subunit ribosomal RNA", at positions 355 to 1376 of the family's 1533-position model. The record is from RNAcentral.